GGUCAAGCGAACAAGUGCAUGUGGUGGAUGCCUUGGCGAUCACAGGCGAUGAAGGACGCGGUAGCCUGCGAAAAGCUUCGGGGAGCUGGCAAACAAGCUUUGAUCCGGAGAUGUCCGAAUGGGGAAACCCGGCCCGUAUGGGUCAUCCCUGACUGAAUACAUAGGUCAGGGAAGCGAACGCGGCGAACUGAAACAUCUAAGUAGCUGCAGGAACAGAAAUCAACCGAGAUUCCCAGAGUAGUGGCGAACGAAAUGGGAAGAGCCUUGUACUCUUUAGCAGUGUUGUUAGCAGAACGGGAUGGAAAGCCCGGCCAUAGCAGGUGAUAGCCCUGUAUGCGAAAACAGCGUUGUGGAACUAGGUGUACGACAAGUAGGGCGGGACACGUGAAAUCCUGUCUGAAGAUGGGGGGACCAUCCUCCAAGGCUAAAUACUCGUGAUCGACCGAUAGUGAACCAGUACCGUGAGGGAAAGGCGAAAAGAACCCCGGGAGGGGAGUGAAAUAGAUCCUGAAACCGCAUGCAUACAAACAGUCGGAGCCUGGAAACGGGUGACGGCGUACCUUUUGUAUAAUGGGUCAGCGACUUACAUUCAGUGGCAAGCUUAACCGAUUAGGGAAGGCGUAGCGAAAGCGAGUCCGAAUAGGGCGUUCAGUCGCUGGGUGUAGACCCGAAACCAGACGAUCUAUCCAUGGCCAGGUUGAAGGUGCGGUAACACGUACUGGAGGACCGAACCCACUAACGUUGAAAAGUUAGGGGAUGAGCUGUGGAUAGGGGUGAAAGGCUAAACAAGUCUGGAAAUAGCUGGUUCUCUCCGAAAACUAUUUAGGUAGUGCCUCGUGUCUCACCUUCGGGGGUAGAGCACUGUCAUGGUUGGGGGGUCUAUUGCUGAUUACCCCGCCAUAGCAAACUCCGAAUACCGAAGAGUGCAAUCACGGGAGACAGACAUCGGGUGCUAACGUCCGGUGUCAAGAGGGAAACAACCCAGACCGCCAGCUAAGGUCCCUAAGAUUGGCUAAGUGGGAAACGAAGUGGGAAGGCUAAAACAGUCAGGAGGUUGGCUUAGAAGCAGCCAUCCUUUAAAGAAAGCGUAAUAGCUCACUGAUCGAGUCGUCCUGCGCGGAAGAUGUAACGGGGCUAAGCCAGUCACCGAAGCUGCGGAUGCACGUAAGUGCAUGGUAGGAGAGCGUUCUGUAAGCCUGUGAAGGUGUCUUGUAAAGGAUGCUGGAGGUAUCAGAAGUGCGAAUGCUGACAUGAGUAGCGAUAAAGGGGGUGAAAAGCCCCCUCGCCGUAAGCCCAAGGUUUCCUACGCAACGUUCAUCGGCGUAGGGUGAGUCGGCCCCUAAGGCGAGGCAGAGAUGCGUAGCUGAUGGGAAGCAGGUUAAUAUUCCUGCACCGUCGUAUGAUGCGAUGGGGGGACGGAUCGCGGAAGGUUGUCCGGGUGUUGGAAGUCCCGGUCCCUGCAUUGGAGAAGGCGCUUAGGCAAAUCCGGGCGCGGAAUUCAAGGAUGUGGGGCGAGCGGCCUAGUGCUGCGAAGCAAUUGGAAGUGGUUCCAAGAAAAGCCUCUAAGCUUCAGUCAUACGAGACCGUACCGCAAACCGACACAGGUGGGCGAGAUGAGUAUUCUAAGGCGCUUGAGAGAACUCGGGAGAAGGAACUCGGCAAAUUGGUACCGUAACUUCGGGAUAAGGUACGCCCUUGUAGCUUGACUGGCCUGCGCCAGGAGGGUGAAGGGGUUGCAAUAAAAUGGUGGCUGCGACUGUUUAAUAAAAACACAGCACUCUGCAAACACGAAAGUGGACGUAUAGGGUGUGACGCCUGCCCGGUGCCGGAAGAUUAAAUGAUGGGGUGCAAGCUCUUGAUUGAAGUCCCGGUAAACGGCGGCCGUAACUAUAACGGUCCUAAGGUAGCGAAAUUCCUUGUCGGGUAAGUUCCGACCUGCACGAAUGGCGUAACGAUGGCCACACUGUCUCCUCCCGAGACUCAGCGAAGUUGAAGUGUUUGUGAUGAUGCAAUCUCCCCGCGGCUAGACGGAAAGACCCCAUGAACCUUUACUGUAGCUUUGCAUUGGACUUUGAACCGAUCUGUGUAGGAUAGGUGGGAGGCUUUGAAGCGUGGACGCUAGUCUGCGUGGAGCCGUCCUUGAAAUACCACCCUGGUUUGUUUGAGGUUCUAACCUUGGUCCGUGAAUCCGGAUCGGGGACAGUGCAUGGUAGGCAGUUUGACUGGGGCGGUCUCCUCCCAAAGUGUAACGGAGGAGUUCGAAGGUACGCUUGGUACGGUCGGACAUCGUACCUAAAGUGCAAUGGCAAAAGCGUGCUUAACUGCGAGACCGACAAGUCGAGCAGGUGCGAAAGCAGGACAUAGUGAUCCGGUGGUUCUGAAUGGAAGGGCCAUCGCUCAACGGAUAAAAGGUACUCUGGGGAUAACAGGCUGAUACCGCCCAAGAGUUCAUAUCGACGGCGGUGUUUGGCACCUCGAUGUCGGCUCAUCUCAUCCUGGGGCUGUAGCCGGUCCCAAGGGUAUGGCUGUUCGCCAUUUAAAGAGGUACGUGAGCUGGGUUUAAAACGUCGUGAGACAGUUUGGUCCCUAUCUGCCGUGGGCGUUGGAAUCUUGACGGGGGCUGCUCCUAGUACGAGAGGACCGGAGUGGACGUACCGCUGGUGUACCUGUUGUCUCGCCAGAGGCAUCGCAGGGUAGCUAUGUACGGAAGAGAUAACCGCUGAAAGCAUCUAAGCGGGAAACUCGCCUGAAGAUGAGGAUUCCCUGGAGCCUUGAGCUCCUUGAAGGGUCGUUCGAGACCAGGACGUUGAUAGGCUGGGUGUGGAAGCGCAGUAAUGCGUUAAGCUAACCAGUACUAAUUGCCCGUAAGGCUUGAUCCU
RNAcentral lists this ribosomal RNA (2879 nucleotides) under Cupriavidus sp. D39. Its description in RNAcentral is "23S ribosomal RNA". It matches the Rfam family "Bacterial large subunit ribosomal RNA". The record is from RNAcentral. Lineage: Bacteria; Pseudomonadati; Pseudomonadota; Betaproteobacteria; Burkholderiales; Burkholderiaceae.